AUUUGUGUGAAUGUGUUCUGCUAAAAGUCUUUCCAAAGGGGAUCAAACAUAAAUGCACAUUUUAAAACCUAGAACCAAGUUUAGUUACUUAAAAACUGGGUAUUAUAUCAUGUAGGUUAACCUGUAUGAAUUCUGAAUUCAUUUUUGUUUCAUGUUUAUAACUAAGUUUGAUAUUUUCAGUCAAGUACGUUUUGCGAAAUAUAGGUUCUUCUGAAAAAUCUCCUGGUAUAAAUUUUAAAGCUAACAGUCUUUCUUGUACUGGUAUGUACUCAAGAGCCAUCUAGUGAUCCAUGUUAGAUCUGCAUGCAAGAAGAUCUGAUGCUGUGAUCUGGUGAAAACAUUCCAUGAUCCAGCCACUCUGUAACUCUGAAUGUACGGCUUCAAAUAACUAUCCAUUUAAAUCUCAGGUAGCCAACAACUCUUUACAACUGGACUUCUGACAAUUGAAUUUUUCCU
This is a long non-coding RNA of Branchiostoma belcheri (Belcher's lancelet), 456 nucleotides long. RefSeq lists it as uncharacterized. The transcript has 2 exons. The record is from RefSeq and is a predicted model, not a curated record. Lineage: Eukaryota; Metazoa; Chordata; Leptocardii; Amphioxiformes; Branchiostomatidae.